AGACCCGAAACCCGGUGAUCUAGCCAUGGGCAGGUUGAAGGUUGGGUAACACUAACUGGAGGACCGAACCGACUAAUGUUGAAAAAUUAGCGGAUGACCUGUGGCUGGGGGUGAAAGGCCAAUCAAACCGGGAGAUAGCUGGUUCUCCCCGAAAGCUAUUUAGGUAGCGCCUCGUGAAUUCAUCUCCGGGGGUAGAGCACUGUUUCGGCUAGGGGGUCAUCCCGACUUACCAACCCGAUGCAAACUGCGAAUACCGGAGAAUGUUAUCACGGGAGACACACGGCGGGUGCUAACGUCCGUCGUGAAGAGGGAAACAACCCAGACCGCCAGCUAAGGUCCCAAAGUCAUGGUUAAGUGGGAAACGAUGUGGGAAGGCCCAGACAGCCAGGAUGUUGGCUUAGAAGCAGCCAUCAUUUAAAGAAAGCGUAAUAGCUCACUGGUCGAGUCGGCCUGCGCGGAAGAUGUAACGGGGCUAAACCAUGCACCGAAGCUGCGGCAGCGAACGUAUCACCCAAGACAA
RNAcentral lists this ribosomal RNA (520 nucleotides) under Salmonella enterica subsp. enterica serovar Indiana. Its description in RNAcentral is "partial 23S ribosomal RNA". It matches the Rfam family "Bacterial large subunit ribosomal RNA", at positions 711 to 1219 of the family's 2925-position model. Lineage: Bacteria; Pseudomonadati; Pseudomonadota; Gammaproteobacteria; Enterobacterales; Enterobacteriaceae. The record is from RNAcentral.